Molecule: long non-coding RNA, 382 nt
Organism: Panthera uncia (snow leopard)
Lineage: Eukaryota; Metazoa; Chordata; Mammalia; Carnivora; Felidae
Exons: 2
Source: RefSeq, a predicted model, not a curated record
CCUUCCCUUUGCCUUUCACAGGGCUUGGAGUCACUGAAAAGAAAACAAAUACCAAUUUGGGGAAGGGAAGAGAAGAGAAGAGAAGAAAAGGUCUUUAAUAAAAAUCAGCCAUAAACAAAACUAGAAGAAGAAAAUCUAUCAAGACAACAUCCUAACUGACUAAAAAAAUCGAGGUGGGGGCGCCUGGGUGGCUCAGUCGGUUGAGCAUCCGACUUCGGCUCAGGUCAUGAUCUCACGGUCUGUGGGCUGAUGGCUCAGAGCCCGGAGCCUGCUUCCGAUUCUGUGUCUCCCUCUCUCUGCCCCUCCCCCGUUCAUGCUCUGUCUCUGUCUCAAAAAUAAAUAAAUGUUAAAAACAAAAAUUAAAAAAAAAAAAAAAAAAAAA